UCGUCAGGUGGGAGAAUCCUUUCUUACGUGUUCUUCCUUUUGCAGGGCAGAUUAGAACAUGAUGAUUGGGGUUCACAUGAUAUGUGAUUAACGUUUCUGUGUAAUCAGGACUUGUAACACCCCAAAUGCUCCUAUCUGAC
Molecule: small nucleolar RNA, 140 nt
Organism: Aotus nancymaae (Ma's night monkey)
Lineage: Eukaryota; Metazoa; Chordata; Mammalia; Primates; Aotidae
Gene: U8
Rfam family: U8 small nucleolar RNA
About the family: U8 is a member of the C/D class of snoRNA which contain the C (UGAUGA) and D (CUGA) box motifs. U8 is the RNA component of a small complex (the U8 snoRNP) which is required for accumulation of mature large subunit ribosomal RNAs, 5.8S and 28S rRNAs. U8 RNA has been identified in human, mouse, rat and Xenopus.
Source: Ensembl